GAGCAUUUUUGCGCAAAUCUUUUAAUCAUUUUGGUUCCGUUUAUUUUUAUUUCUUUUUCAAAAUAUUAUGAAUAAAUAAUUAGGAUUUUUUAUAUUUUCAUUUCAAUUUUACGAUGAUUAUUUAAAUUAAUUUGGUUUUUCAUUGUUUAAUUAAUUUAAACUCUUUUUUAUCUUUAAAUUUUUUUAAGGGUUUUUUUGUCU
RNAcentral lists this long non-coding RNA (201 nucleotides) under Lathyrus oleraceus (garden pea). RNAcentral's name for it is "Pisum sativum (pea) long non-coding RNA (PSAT_LNC015357)". Lineage: Eukaryota; Viridiplantae; Streptophyta; Magnoliopsida; Fabales; Fabaceae. The record is from RNAcentral.